AGAAGUCGGGGAGACAGUCGCGUCUCUUCCAACCCCCGGGUAGGGAGGUCCGAGGAAAGUCCGAGCUCCGCAGGGCAGGGUGCUGGCUAACGACCAGGGGGAGCGAUCCCACGGAAAGUGCCACAGAAAAUAAACCGCUUCCGCUUCGGCGGCAGUAAGGGUGAAACGGUGAGGUAAGAGCUCACCGCGCCGCUGGUGACAGCGGUGGCAGGGUAAACCCCACCUGGAGCAAGACCAAAUAGGGGAGGAUGAGGUAGCCCGCCUCGUUUGCACUCCCGGGUCGGUCGCUUGAGGCCGCCGGUAACGGCGGUCCCAGAUACAUGAUUGUCGCCCGGCGCGCUUGCGCGUCGCGGUAACAGAACUCGGCUUACGACCGGCUUCUCACG
RNAcentral lists this RNase P RNA (386 nucleotides) under bacterium. RNAcentral describes it as "RNase P RNA component class A". It matches the Rfam family "Bacterial RNase P class A". From Rfam's summary of the family: Ribonuclease P (RNase P) is a ubiquitous endoribonuclease, found in archaea, bacteria and eukarya as well as chloroplasts and mitochondria. Its best characterised activity is the generation of mature 5'-ends of tRNAs by cleaving the 5'-leader elements of precursor-tRNAs. Cellular RNase Ps are ribonucleoproteins. RNAcentral also lists the same sequence under 2 other names. The record is from RNAcentral.